CACGUAGGGCGCGAGCGUUGUCCGGAAUUAUUGGGCGUAAAGGGCGCGUAGGCGGUCAGCACAAGUCAGUUGUGAAAUCUCCGGGCUUAACUCGGAAAGGUCAACUGAUACUGUGCGACUAGAGUGCAGAAGGGGCAACUGGAAUUCUCGGUGUAGCGGUGAAAUGCGUAGAUAUCGAGAGGAACACCUGCGGCGAAGGCGGGUUGCUGGGCUGACACUGACGCUGAUGCGCGAAAGCCAGGGGAGCGAACGGG
RNAcentral lists this ribosomal RNA (254 nucleotides) under uncultured bacterium. RNAcentral describes it as "partial 16S ribosomal RNA". It matches the Rfam family "Bacterial small subunit ribosomal RNA", at positions 524 to 776 of the family's 1533-position model. The record is from RNAcentral.